RNAcentral lists this long non-coding RNA (3986 nucleotides) under Citrus x clementina. RNAcentral describes it as "Citrus clementina (C. clementina) long non-coding RNA (CCLE_LNC003140)". The record is from RNAcentral. Lineage: Eukaryota; Viridiplantae; Streptophyta; Magnoliopsida; Sapindales; Rutaceae.
UCAUGUUUUCCAUUCAAAAAAAAAAAAAUCAUGUUUUAUAGCAAACAUGUUAGUUGUUUUGUACAUCUGAUCUUGUUCUAAGCCAUCAAAUUUGAUCAUUUCUUCAUACAACUUAGCUUGUAAAUCAACUACUUCCUUCUCAGCACCGAAAAGCACACUAAUCAAACUAUCUAUUUUUAGUUACCAUGGCUGCAACCAUCUUAGUCAUUGCCCCAAUAUUUGAAUAUGUUCAAUUCCCUAAAUCCAAUAAGAGAUAACAUGUCUGACAAAGCACAAUACUUUUGCUUUAACCAUUUCACUCGAGAUUUAAUAUGAUGAGAAUGCUUUGAAACAAGAACCUUGACAAUUUGGCUUCCAUCUUUUGUUCCACUUGUUGUAAGUGGCUAUUUCAGAACCUGCAAUCUAAUUGUCACAUAAAAUUUUGACUUAAAUCCAACAAUGAUUCAACUGAUACAGCAUUUUGGGCUGUCAUCCAAAAAUACUUAUUUUGCCCGUACCUCUUUGAGUUGGAACAUAACUCAUUUUGUAACAAUAAUGUAUACAAAAUUAUUAGAAUCCAAAUAGAUACAAUGUCAAAUAAAAAUUAAUUGCAUAAUUCAUAAGCAAAAUCAUAAGCAAUCAGAUCAUAAGGAAACAGAUACAGUGUCAAAUGAAAAUUAAUUAUAUAAUUCAAGCAAACAGAUGCAAUGUGAAAUGAAAAAAGAUUGCAUAAGUCAUAAGCGAACAAAUACCAAUGUUAAACAACAACCCGAAAUAAGAAGGCAAUACAUCUCAAGCAACCAACACAAACUCUUCAUUAUUCUCUACUUACAUGCCAUGUGUUCCACAUCUCUUGGGCCAAAUUUUGUCUUCACAUAGUCUAUUUAUGUGAGGGCUCAACUGAAUCAACAAACUUUGAUUUGUUUGACAUUCUAGAGUCAACUCAUUAUCCAUUUCCAUCUCUAUAUCAUCAUAAGACAUUUCUCUUCUACUAAAGUUAAGUAGCAUACAACAAAUAGAUUUAAUAUGCCAUUGUGUUUUUAUAUAUAUAAAAUGAAGGACUUCCUAAUCAGCCUAUCUCUUCUUCAAUAACCCAAAACAUCGUUCAAUUACAUUACAAGCAUCUAAGUGCUUCAUAUUAAGUAACUCUUCUAGAACAGUAGGUUGGUAUCCUUCACUAAAGUGACUCAAACGAGGUUACUUGAAUAUCAUUCAAAUAGUAACAUAGUUCUCUAAAUAGAGAAAGGAAGAAAACCCUUCCUAUUGCUGUAGCCACCAUCAACCAAGUAAUAAUAGCUUAUUAACAAAAAUAGGAUAUCAUAAAUCAAUCUAAUUGACAAAUGAUGUAAUCUUAGAAGCUAAAGAUGAUUUUGGUUAGAUAUAUUACCAUUAGAACUUGGAAACCAUUUCUUCUAGUUAAAGCAUAUAGCAUGCAAAUAUGUUGAGUUGAACCUUUCCAUCCUAGUAAAAAGUAGAUAGAUUGCAUGUCUUGUGAACAAACUGUCAAGAUAUUUGUUGCAAUUUCAUUUUUCCUAGUUUUAUAUUUUCUAUCAACCUUGGAAACGUGAACCUUUAUGUGCGUCUUCUAACGCACCCAACCAAUUCUACAUAAUAAGAUAAAAAAAAAUUGUAAGGCAAUAUACAAAAAUGCAUCAGAGAAAAUGUGAUUUGAAAACAAUAUUAUAGAUACCUUAAGCUACUUCCAUUUUGGGUCUGUUGGAUUCUCCAUCACUAGCUCAAGUGUUUUUCAAAACCCCUUUUGGCAUUUAAUUAUUACCUUUAAACACUCGUGGAAAUAUUUACUAACUAUUUUUUGAAUCUUGUGAAAUUGAAACCAACAACCCAAUUCUUCAUAUGAUGUGCCUAAAUAUAAAAACAUUGCAAACAUCUCCUCGGGAGAUACAUUUCGAGUGCCAACCAAAUGCCUUUCCCACAAAGAAAGUUACAUAAAAUUUUGAAUGUUUCUCUAUCCAUUCUUAAUUUUGACAAAUAUUUGAUAUCACUUUGAAAAAGCAAAUCAUACACAAAAUAGCUCAUUUGUUUGUAUACUCUAGAGAUUGAUUUUGUACUAUCGAAGUCUCCAUUCAUAAGUCAAGCAAAGAUGAAAACACAUGGCAGCCCACACGGUCACAAUCAUUUGCAAUACCAUAAUCAAGUUCUGUAUAACUACAAUGACUCUUCUUUCUUGCUAACAAAUAAGUAAUUUCUAUAUCUCAACAUAACAAAAUUAAGCCAAUAGAUAUUAAUUAUUUAAAAUUAAUGAACAGAAGCACAAUAUCAGAUAUGAGCAGCAAUGAUUAUUUGGGCACCAUGUAAACAAGAAAUGCAAUUUUAAUAGUACUUUAAGCUCAAUUCCUAGAUAUUAAUCUACAUUGUCAACUCAAUCUAUUUACUGAGGAAGAGAGAGAGAAAAGAGAGAGAGAGAGAGAGAGAUGCAUGGAAAAGUUCAAUUUUUUCUCCAUAGACUAAGAUUUGCAUUGAUCAAUUUGUCUUUCAAAGCCAACCACAGAAUCCGGCAAUUUAUUAUCAUGAUAAAUGAUAAACGAUACACAAAUAAAAUAAAAAGGGGUGAUUAAGAAACAAAAUCUGGAAUCAAAUGCCUAAUUCAUAUAUUUCUCGCAUACUGGAGCCACAGUGAUUGUAACAGAACAAGUAAUCAAUCCAAGUAUGGCAUGGAUCACCAACAACAUUGACUUCGUGAAAAUGCCAUAAUACACAUGAAUUAAAACAAAUCAGUGAAACAAAUUUAAAGUGAUAUACUUUUAUAGAAAUUAAAACAGAAAAAUAUUUUAAAUUUUCAAACAAUUAUGUUUCUAAUAAUAUAAAUAUGCCGCCCCCAAGGGAGUAGCGCAGUUGGUUGAGGGAUUUAGAUCUGGUGCUUGGCUAUAUCAUGUGUUAGGGGGUCUAACUGACCCCGGUUUAGAGGCCAGGUUGGACCCGUGGUUUGAUUCGGUGUGCGAGUCUAGAUUAUAAAAAAAUAAAUAAUGUAAAUAUGCCAAAAUUUAAUCAGUCAUAUUCAUCUUACUUUUUUUUUUCUUUUUUGUAUUCUGCUGCUGAUAACAAAUAUCUCAAAGACCUCCACAAACAACUCAAAAACCUCAAUUAACUGCACAGAAAACCGGCAAUUAACUGUCAAUAGAAUGCUAGUAAUUCGGGAAAUAAAUAUGAAUUGUAAAUAGAAAAUUAUACCUAAAAAAUCCAAAAAUAUAAUAGAAAAUAUUUUUAGACGCUCAUUUGGAGAGUGUCCAUGCUGACCUCUACUCAAGCAAAUCUUUAUUAAAGCAUCAAAGAGAAGGCACAAAGUUUAUACAAAAUUAGUCAACUUUCUUUCAUUUUUUUUUCUUUUUUUAAACAUCCAGCUUAGCAUAACAAAAAAUUAACAUCUAAUUUUCCAAAACAAUAGAAGUGCAGAACAACAACAAAUUAAUUCCAUUAAUAUAAUAAUAUUGCACUAUAAAAAGAAAGAAAAAAAGCUUCACGCGUGAUUUUAUGAUUCUCAGAUCAAACAGGAAAAAAAAAACUGAAAAUUUUGCUCCCAUAAAACUAAGAAUGAAAAAGAAAAAAGAAAAAAAAAGAGAGAGAUUACUUAGCAACUAUGUAUUUGCUGGUAUUUCCUAUACAAAUAGAUAUUCUUCGUCUAGAUUUGGCUUCUUUUAUUUAAUUAAUUGUCACAUUCAUUAUGGUGUUUUCCAGAAGAUUUUGCUUUUGCAUUUACAGUAACAAAAUAGGAGUACAAGAUCAAGAAUCAAGAGUUAGCAAGUAAUACUCAAACAAGGAAGCUGCGAACGGCGACGGCAGCGGCGAGGAAUAUUCACGAUGAGAAGGGGCCUGUGGAUUAGCAGAAAUUAGCGAAUCUGAUCGUCCUGUUUUUUUUUUUUUGGUUUUAAAUAUUGAUACUGGGGCAAGCCUGCGAUUUGUGAGUUUUAUGAAGUGUAUAAUUGUAAGGAGUGCCUAAUUGCCGGUUCUGAGAAUGACAAUUUUAAAAUCUUAUAAUUUUCUAGUGUUAA